This 429-nucleotide ribosomal RNA is filed under the name uncultured Psychromonas sp. RNAcentral describes it as "bacterial SSU rRNA". It matches the Rfam family "Bacterial small subunit ribosomal RNA", at positions 355 to 776 of the family's 1533-position model. The record is from RNAcentral. Lineage: Bacteria; Pseudomonadati; Pseudomonadota; Gammaproteobacteria; Alteromonadales; Psychromonadaceae.
UGGGGAAUAUUGCACAAUGGAGGAAACUCUGAUGCAGCCAUGCCGCGUGUGUGAAGAAGGCUUUCGGGUUGUAAAGCACUUUCAGCGAGGAGGAAAGGGCGUAGAUUAAUACUCUGCGCCUGUGACGUUACUCGCAGAAGAAGCACCGGCUAACUCCGUGCCAGCAGCCGCGGUAAUACGGAGGGUGCAAGCGUUAAUCGGAAUUACUGGGCGUAAAGCGCGCGUAGGUGGUUAAUCAAGUCAGAUGUGAAAGCCCAGGGCUCAACCUUGGAACUGCAUUUGAAACUGGUUGACUAGAGUUUUGUAGAGGGUGGUAGAAUUUCAGGUGUAGCGGUGAAAUGCGUAGAGAUCUGAAGGAAUACCAGUGGCGAAGGCGGCCACCUGGACAAAGACUGACACUGAGGCGCGAAGGCGUGGGGAGCAAACGGG